UACGGAGGGUGCAAGCGUUAUCCGGAUUCACUGGGUUUAAAGGGAGCGCAGGCGGAUUAGUAAGUCAGUGGUGAAAGCCUUAAGCUUAACUUGGGAACUGCCAUUGAUACUAUUAGUCUUGAAUGUUGUUGAGGUGUGCGGAAUGGGUCAUGUAGCGGUGAAAUGCAUAGAUAUGACCCGGAACACCUAUUGCGAAGGCAGCAGGCUAAACAAAUAUUGACGCUGAGGCUCGAAAGCGUGGGGAUCAAACAGG
RNAcentral lists this ribosomal RNA (253 nucleotides) under uncultured bacterium. Its description in RNAcentral is "partial 16S ribosomal RNA". It matches the Rfam family "Bacterial small subunit ribosomal RNA", at positions 524 to 776 of the family's 1533-position model. The record is from RNAcentral.